This 496-nucleotide ribosomal RNA is filed under the name uncultured bacterium. Its description in RNAcentral is "partial 16S ribosomal RNA". It matches the Rfam family "Bacterial small subunit ribosomal RNA", at positions 29 to 507 of the family's 1533-position model. The record is from RNAcentral.
AUGAACGCUGGCGGCGUGCCUAAUACAUGCAAGUCGAGCGAACAGACGAGGAGCUUGCUCCUUCGACGUUAGCGGCGGACGGGUGAGUAACACGUAGGUAACCUACCUAUAAGACUGGGAUAACUUCGGGAAACCGGAGCUAAUACCGGAGAAUAUUUCGAACCGCAUGGUUCGAUAGUGAAAGAUGGCUUUGCUAUCACUUAUAGAUGGACCUGCGCCGUAUUAGCUAGUUGGUAAGGUAACGGCUUACCAAGGCAACGAUACGUAGCCGACCUGAGAGGGUGCUCGGCCACACUGGAACUGAGACACGGUCCAGACUCCUACGGGAGGCAGCAGUAGGGAAUCUUCCGCAAUGGGCGAAAUCCUGACGGAGCAACGCCGCGUGAGUGAUGAAGGUCUUCGGAUCGUAAACCUCUUUUAUUAGGGAAGAACAAACGUGUAAGUAACUGUGCACGUCUUGACGGUACCUAAUCAGAAAGCCACGGCUAACUACGUG